GAUGAACGCUAGCUACAGGCUUAACACAUGCAAGUCGAGGGGCAUCAGGAAGAAAGCUUGCUUUCUUUGCUGGCGACCGGCGCACGGGUGAGUAACACGUAUCCAACCUGCCCUUUACUCGGGGAUAGCCUUUCGAAAGAAAGAUUAAUACCCGAUAGCAUAAUGAUUCCGCAUGGUUUCAUUAUUAAAGGAUUCCGGUAAAGGAUGGGGAUGCGUUCCAUUAGGUUGUUGGUGAGGUAACGGCCCACCAAGCCUUCGAUGGAUAGGGGUUCUGAGAGGAAGGUCCCCCACAUUGGAACUGAGACACGGUCCAAACUCCUACGGGAGGCAGCAGUGAGGAAUAUUGGUCAAUGGGCGCUAGCCUGAACCAGCCAAGUAGCGUGAAGGAUGAAGGCUCUAUGGGUCGUAAACUUCUUUUAUAUAAGAAUAAAGUGCAGUAUGUAUACUGUUUUGUAUGUAUUAUAUGAAUAAGGAUCGGCUAACUCCGUGCCAGCAGCCGCGGUAAUACGGAGGAUCCGAGCGUUAUCCGGAUUUAUUGGGUUUAAAGGGAGCGUAGGUGGACUGGUAAGUCAGUUGUGAAAGUUUGCGGCUCAACCGUAAAAUUGCAGUUGAUACUGUCAGUCUUGAGUACAGUAGAGGUGGGCGGAAUUCGUGGUGUAGCGGUGAAAUGCUUAGAUAUCACGAAGAACUCCGAUUGCGAAGGCAGCUCACUGGACUGCAACUGACACUGAUGCUCGAAAGUGUGGGUAUCAAACAGGAUUAGAUACCCUGGUAGUCCACACAGUAAACGAUGAAUACUCGCUGUUUGCGAUAUACAGUAAGCGGCCAAGCGAAAGCAUUAAGUAUUCCACCUGGGGAGUACGCCGGCAACGGUGAAACUCAAAGGAAUUGACGGGGGCCCGCACAAGCGGAGGAACAUGUGGUUUAAUUCGAUGAUACGCGAGGAACCUUACCCGGGCUUAAAUUGCAGUGGAAUGAUGUGGAAACAUGUCAGUGAGCAAUCACCGCUGUGAAGGUGCUGCAUGGUUGUCGUCAGCUCGUGCCGUGAGGUGUCGGCUUAAGUGCCAUAACGAGCGCAACCCUUAUCUUCAGUUACUAACAGGUUAUGCUGAGGACUCUGGAGAGACUGCCGUCGUAAGAUGUGAGGAAGGUGGGGAUGACGUCAAAUCAGCACGGCCCUUACGUCCGGGGCUACACACGUGUUACAAUGGGGGGUACAGAAGGCAGCUACCUGGUGACAGGAUGCUAAUCCCAAAAGCCUCUCUCAGUUCGGAUCGAAGUCUGCAACCCGACUUCGUGAAGCUGGAUUCGCUAGUAAUCGCGCAUCAGCCACGGCGCGGUGAAUACGUUCCCGGGCCUUGUACACACCGCCCGUCAAGCCAUGGGAGCCGGGGGUACCUGAAGUACGUAACCGCAAGGAUCGUCCUAGGGUAAAACUGGUGACUGGGGC
RNAcentral lists this ribosomal RNA (1450 nucleotides) under uncultured organism. RNAcentral describes it as "16S ribosomal RNA". It matches the Rfam family "Bacterial small subunit ribosomal RNA". The record is from RNAcentral.